CUUUUGUUUUCACUGGGUUUCUGUUGUUCUGCCGGAAGGCUGCAGAAGGCAGUCACAGGAGUCCUGGUUGAAGGCUUGGGUGGCAGGAGGAUUGUAAGUGUGGAAUAUGGGGCCACCCAUGAUGGGGCAGCACCGAGGGGUUAUGGGGGAGGGACCCAGGGAGGGAGCAGGAGGGGUGGAACAUGCCUCUUCCCUGUCUGUUCCAUCCCAGGGUUUUGAUGGCUGAGGUGGAGGAAGGGGCAGCGGUAGAGCUCCAGGGACUUCCCCCUGACAUGCCAGAGGAACUGCUCAUGCUGUACUUUGAGAACCGCCGGCGCUCCGGUGGGGGGCCUGUGUUGAGCUGGCAGAGACUUGGCUGUGGGGGUAUCCUUACCUUUCGAGAGCCUGCAGGUGAGGGAGCUGGCUAAAGGGGGCAGCCUGGGAACCCUGAUACCCUAAUGACACUGACGUCCCACCCCUGCUCACAGAUGCCAAAAGGGUCUUGGCCCAGGCAGAGCACCGACUACAUGGUGCCAGACUGAGCCUGCACCCAGCUCCACCACGCGCCCCUGCACGUCUGCUUCUCCAAGGAUUACCACCUGGCACUGUGCCACUGCGCCUGGAGCAGCAUGUCCAGGCCCUGCUGAGUGCCAUGGGGCACCCAGUGCAGUCCUGCCAUGCCCUGGCCAGUCCCAGGCCUGAUCGGGCCCUGGUCCAGCUGGCCAUGCCCCUUUCUGAGGCAGGUGAGAGGCCUGAAUGGGGCUGAGGUGCUGGUUAGGGGAGGUACACCAAGCUGACUUGCACCCUUCCCACAGAAAUUCAUGUCCUGGAGGAACAGGCCCGGAAUACGGACCUGGAUGGGGCUAUGGUGUCAGUGACCUGGGUGCCUCAGGCCCGAGCUGUGCGUGUGGUGAGGGGCACACCCCCUUUGGACAUGCUGCUGCUAGAGUUGUACCUGGAGAAUGAGCGCCGCAGUGGUGGGGGGCCCCUGGAGGGCCUGCGCAGCCUGCCGAGACAGCUGGGCACUGUUGUCUCCUUCCAGCAGUGGCAGGGUGAGUGGGCUGGGCAGACACAUGGGACCCUUCCUCUUUCACAAAAACUUGAUAGGCUUUCUGUCUUCUUUCCUCCAAGUGGCUGAACGGGUGCUGCAGCAGGACCACUGGCUGCAGGGCUCAGAGCUGAAACUUGUCCCCCACUAUGACAUCUUGGAGCCUGAGGAGCUUGCUGAGGGCACCAAAGGAAAGGAUAACCCAUCCAUGCUGGGAUCUGAGCAUGCUCUCCUGGAGACUAGAGGGCUGGCAGAAACCCUGAAGUGUGCAGGGGCUGUGACUGUGGGUUCUGGGGAGGCACCAGGGCAAUUGGAAGCCUUUCUGAGGACAGGUCUUCAGGCUGUGCCAGUUGGCUUGGAUCCCGUGGGAUGUCCAGAGCAAGAGGGGCCUAUGGGAUCUCUGGAGCAGGAAGGGCCUGUGAGCUUGGGGACUGUGGGGUCUCCAGAGCAGGCUGGGCUCAUGAGUCUGGGGCCUAUGGGGUCUGCAGGCUCAGUGGGCCCAGUGGAGGUCUCUAUGGAGUUGCUGGGACAAGUGAAGCUCAAGGGCCAGAGACCCAUGGGGCUUCUGGCACAGGAGAGCCUGAUGGAAGUUGCCAGGGGCUCACCAGGUCAGGAGGGGCUGGUGGGUCCAGAAGAGAUUGCCCUGGAAUCUGCAGAGAAGGUUGGGGUGAAGAGCCCUGGGCAUAUGGGGCUUCAGGGUCAGGAGGGCCUGGUAGAGAUGGUGUUAUCGAUGGAGCCAGGAGCUAUGCGCUUCCUACAGCUUUAUCAUGAGGACCUUCUUGCCAGCCUGGGAGAUGUCGCUCUUUUCCCACUUGAAGGAAUGGAGGUGACUGGCUUUCGGGUGAGUGACCCAUAGAAAUUCCUCACUUUUGCCUCCUUUUCCCACUGGGGCUCUGGGUACCUUUCCUGUACCCUGAAUCUGCAUACUGUUCCUCUCUCAUGGUCCUGCAGCUCUGUGGAGCCCAGGCCUCAUGCCAGGUGGCCCAGGAGUUGCUGCAGAGUCUGCUGGGUAGCAUCAGCUGCCAUGUGCUGAGCCUGAAGCACCCAGGCAGUGCCAGGUUCCUGCUGGGUGUGGAGGGGCAGCACCUUUUGCAGGGUUUGGAGGCUCAGUUCCAGUGUGUCUUUGGGACAGAGCGUCUGGCCAGUGCCAACCUGGUCAUGGACCCUGAAGAGGUAGAGAUGAAGUUCUUCCCUAUCUCUCUCCUGUCUUACUCUCCAGCUCCAGGUACCCCCUCUCCCUUGCCCAAAGGCUAGUGACCCUGAUAUCCUUUCCCCACAGGUGGAUUCCACUGAGAUCCUUCAGGUCCUCCCUGGCCACAGCCAUACCUGGUGGCCCACAGAUAGUACAGGCAGUGACCAGGAGAACAUGAGCCUGGGUAGGGCUCCCUGGUAGGGGCCCCCAGCAUGUCCUGUGGUCCUUUUUUGACCCUGCUCUCUGCCUUGCUCUGAACUCUUACCUCUCUAGUGACCCUUCCCAGGCCCAUCCUCUACCCUCAAACUCACUCCAUCUUUCAUCCAUUCCAUCUCAUCCUGUUUUUCAAUACCAUCCUGGCUGGACCUGACUCAUGACCCAGUGUUCUCUCCCUACCCUCAGAGGAAGUCCGAGAGCUGCUGGCAACCAUGGAAGGCUUCGAUAGGGAGAACUGGUUGUCCCUGGAGCUGGGAGAGGAGGGACCUGAGGACCAGCCAGAAGAGGCAGCAACUUCAGGGAAGGAGGAUGAAGAACCCACACCUGGGGCUGGGGAGAAGCCUGUGAGCCUCAGCACUGGGGCAGCUGGGCAGCUAGAGGAGGAAGCUGCACUGCAACUGGCCCUCCAUCGGUCACUGGAGCCUCAAGACAAGGUUGCUGAGCAGGAGGAAGCUGCUGCACUAAGACAAGCCCUGGCCCUCUCCCUUUUGGAGCAACCCCUGUUGGAAGCAGAAGAGUCCCUGAAUGGAGGAACUGGUAGUGGGGCCCAGCUGGUGGUGCAUGCACCCUUUGAGCAGGAUAUAGAUGAGUUGGAACAAGCAUUAACAGCUGCCUUGGAGGUACACCUGAAUAAGGAGACUGUGAGACACCCAGGCCGUGUGCUGCCCACAGAGCUGUGUGCUCGCCUGGGGCAGUGCCAUGGUGUGAAUGUUGCCCUGCGUGGUGAUUGCACUGUCUUUUGUGGCUUUGGAGCCCAACCUGCCCGUGCGGCACGCCACUUCGCUGUGCUACUUGCUGGCCCCUGGGAUCAGAGUUUGGCCUUUCCCUUGGUGGCUUCAGACACUACUUGUGAGUCUGUGCUUUGGACUAGGAGAGGGCAGGUGGCUGACUAUUGGGCUAGUGUGUAAGCAUGGCCCUGAUGUCCUUUCUUUCUACAUAUCAGUGCUAGAACAGAGGCUGAAAAGGCCACUGGGAAAGCUGGAGGGCCUGGAAGAGAGCACCAAGGAAUUCCAAAAUGUGGUGAAGGCUUUCUAUGACACCCUGGAUACUGCCCACAGCAGAAUCCGCAUCAUACGGGUGAGUCUAUACUCUGUCUCACAGGUCUCGGUGAGACUUGCCUGCAUCAGAGUCUGCUGUCCAGGACCUGCUCAGCAGACAGGCUAGAGACUGAGGUAGGGACAGGAGAGCACUGGGGCCUGAGGGAGGCUCUCUGCAAGGAACUAUGUGAGAUGCUCUGUACACCUCAGUUUCCCUGCCUGGACUAUGGAAUGGUGAUGCUCUCUUGACCACUGUGAGAGCUACUUAUUCCCAUAAAUGAGUAACUUGUCCUGUUCUAGGGGCUCUUCUGUCUCCAACUGGGGCCAGGGCUCCCUGCAGUGUGGUGACCUCUUCUUGGCUUGUUUGUUUGUUUAUUGUGAGGCUAGGGAUCAAAGUCAGGGCCUCCAGCAUACUAGACAAGUGCUCUACCACUGACCUACAUCCUCAGCCCCUUUUCUUGUCUUCUAACUUACUAAAUUUGGCAACCCUGAAAAUGGACUUGUUUUCAAAAAAGGCUGGGAAAAAUUGGUGGGGAGUUAGAGUGAAGCCCCAGGAGCCACUACCUGUCCAGGAAGGUGAAGAAGAACCAAGAAGGAGGGACUAGAGAGACCAGAGAGGUUUACAGAAGACAUAGGUUGGGGCAGGGGUGCACAAGAUGAGUAGGAACCACAAUAUCUUCCCUGCCCAAAGGAAGGACUAAGGAGGGAGUGUUGGUCAGGAUGGUCUAUCAGGGAGUUAGUGUGGGGAGGGGGCAAAGAGUAAAUGGGGGAUGAGGGCAGGAACAACUCUGGAAAUAGGCUGGGUAAGAGGGAGAAGGAUAGAGAUAGAAGUAGAUAGAAGAAGUCCAGGGUUGAAGAAGUUUCUGAUCCAGAAAACAGUGUGCUCAUAACUGAGGGAUGAAUCCAAGAGAGGGCUGGCCAUAGACAGAUGAGAAGGACAGAGGAGAGCUUGAGUCACUGUGCUGGUAAGCCUGGGCAGAGAGUUCUCCCCUCUUGAUGCUCAGUUAUGGGUACAGCCAGCAGCAGCAGCCUCCACCUAGAGCUGGUCAUAAAUGCAGAACCUCUGGUCUUCCCCAAGGUUGGGGAAGUCACCUACAACCUGACCUACUUACCCACUUCCAUCACCAUUACCACCACCACCAUCACCACCACUACCAUCAUCCCACCACCACCACCACCAUCCCACUGGUGACAGUUACCACCAUCACUGUCACCACCAACAGCAUUCCACUAGUACAAUCACCACAAUCACCACUAUCCCACCACCACCACCAUCCUACCACUAUAGUUAUAAAAAAUAGAACCAUAGUAAGUAAAGUAAAUGAAAUCCUAUUAUUAAAACUACUGCAUGAAAGAAAGUGUUCUAAGCUUAUCUUGUGAUUUUUUACUUCAUUUUUUUUCUUGGUUGUGCUUGGCUGCUAGGGUACUUUGUGCCUCCUCAAUACCCUCUUUUUGGAGGAAGGGGUACCAGGGAUUGAACUCAGGGCACUCGACUCCUGUGCCACAUCCCCAGCCCUAUUUUGAAUUUUAUUUAGAGACAGGGUCUCACUGAGUUGCUUAGAGCCUCGCUUUUGCUGAGGCUGGCUUUAAACUUGUGAUCCUCCUGCCUCAGCCUUCAGAGCCGCUGGGAUUACAGGUGUGCACCUCCGAGUCUGGCUUGAUACCCUCUUGUGUGAAUUCUGUUCUUGAGUAAGGAGUAUCUCUGAGUGGGUAGUGAACAUUUUGACUUUUAAGUUUAAAAAUAACUUUUAUAAUUAGAAGUAUUUUACAAUUCUAAUUUGAGUUGAUAUAAACUUUCUAUGUUGUUAAAUGUUCUAACUUGUCUUUAUUUCUACAUUCUUCAUUAAUAAUUUUGCUGGGAUACACUGUUCAGGUUCAAAAGAUAUUUGCCCUCAGACUUUUGAAGACUUUGCUCUUUUUUAAAUUUUAAGAUUCUUUUACCCUACAAACUUAAAAACAUAAAUAUCUCCAUGGUUUCUUAGUAUCCAGCAUUGGUGAGAUACUCAAUGUGAGAUUUCUUCCCAUUUGUACAUUAACCUUGAUAGUGGGUGUGUGGGUGGGUGGGGUGUGGGUGUAUACAUUUGAUAAGUUUUCUUCACUUCAAGGGUAAGAUUUUCCUGUCAGGUGCCAGGAAUAUGUCCUUCACAUUGUCCUUCGUGGCAUUUCAUGGGUCCUCCCAUCUGGAGAUGUUACCUUUCUGCUCGUCUUCCAUUGUGUUCCCAGGAGCCCCCACUCUUGCCUGUUGUCUUUUCCUGGAGCUCCUGAGAGGCAGAACUUAGACCUCUUCCACUUGCCUCGCUCCCCGUGUGUUGUUUCCUUCUUUUCCUUUAGCUCUGCUCUCUGCAUCAAUUACUUAUUUCCAUGUAGAUCCUCUAGCUGGAUCUUUAGCUCUAACCAUUCCAUUAUCUGGCCCACCCACAGAAGUUAGCUCAGCAUUCUUGUUCUUGGCCUCCUUCUUCAUACUAGGGGAUCCAACCCAGGGCCUCCCACAUGCUAGGCCAGUGCUGUUCUACUGAGCUGCAUCUUCAGCCCAGCAAUCUCAUUCUUAAUGUAAGAACUAUUUCUUAUUUUUAGACUUUUUUUUUUUUAGCAUCUAGUCUUGUUUUAUGAAUGUAGUAUUGUUUUGAUUGCCUCUGAAGCAACUAAUUAGAGUUUCUUUAAAAGCUGUAUUUGGGUCCUUGAGUUUGUUACUUUAGGGCUUGGUCACUUCAGGCCUUCUCUCCUGCCUGGGUCUUCUAGAACUGAGAGGGCUGUGGCAUCUGAACGUUGGGAGUACUGCUGAGGGCAGUGUAGGCACCUGGCUAGGUUUUAUGCUCCAGAGGUCUGGCUGUGCGUCCUGCGUUCAGGUGAUCCUGUGGAGUUUGUCCACCUGCAGACCUCUCUGCAGGAGUUAGACCUCCCUGGAGGUGUCAGGCCUUCCUAGAAGUCCUGGGAUGCCACUUGCUCCCUAAUGGAGGUAGUUUAUGUCUGUGGCUGGACAGAGAAUGAGGGGGCUGCAAGGUCUCCCCCUAAAUUUUCCACCAAGGGGCUCCUGAUUGCUGACCUCAGCUUUUCCUGGGCCAACCCACAGGCAUAGGAAAUAACUGCAAGAAAUAACUGCAAAUAGCCUGGCUCUGACCAUCUCUCACCUGAUAGGUGGAGCGUGUGUCGCACCCGCUGCUGCAGCAGCAGUACCAGCUGCACCUGGAGCGCCUUGAGGAACGCUGCGUGCAGCGCCCUGUGGAGCGGGUCCUGUACCAUGGCACAUCGGCCUCCGCAGUGCCGGACAUCUGCGCGUUCGGUUUUAACCGCAGCUUCUGCGGCCGCAACGGUUAGGCCUAGGCUGGGCAGGGCUGGGGCUCCAUCAACCCCCAUCACUCUGACCUCUGCCGCUUCCGCCUUGCAGGUACGCUCUACGGGCAGGGUGUGUACUUCGCCAAGCGCGCCUCCCUAUCCGUGCAGGACCGCUACUCGCCUCCCAAUGCUGACGGCCACAAGGCGGUGUUUGUGGCACGGGUGCUGACGGGAGACUAUGCGCAGGGCCGCCGCGAUCUGCGGGCACCCCCUCUGCGGCCCUCUGGCCAUGUGCUCCUGCGCUACGACAGUGCUGUGGAUUGCCUCCAUCAGCCCAGCAUCUUUGUCAUCUUCCACGACACUCAGGCGCUGCCCACUCAUCUCAUCACCUGCGAGCACAUACCCCCGGCUUCCCUUGGGCUCUCGAGUCCCUCUCUGGCCACCUGACCCAAGGGGUUAGCCUGUGGCCUGCUGCUCUACAGGUUCCCCGUUCUACAAACCCCCCUUUCCUCCCUGGGGACGUUCCUGCUUCUUGUUGGGGAGCAGGAAUCCAGGCCGACCCGGAGGGCUGGGUCGGCCCAACCACCAGGGGUCAGCAAAGCCCAGCAGGAGGGUGCGCCGGCCUGACACGCCCGUCUUGGCUGGACCUCGUCUGAGCGCUUCUGUGUCUCUGAAUAAACGUGAAACCAGGCAGAACCUCCUGGCGUUCGGAAUCAGACCUCUGGAGAGUGGGGGUCUCCGCGUAGCCA
This 7494-nucleotide long non-coding RNA is filed under the name Marmota monax (woodchuck). The record is from RNAcentral. Lineage: Eukaryota; Metazoa; Chordata; Mammalia; Rodentia; Sciuridae.